UGGGUAGUCCGUACGAGCGCACCUUAUCCUUAGUUGCCAGCGAGUAUGUCGGGAACUCUAGGGAGACUGCCGGUGAUAAACCGGAGGAAGGUGGGGAUGACGUCAAGUCAUCAUGGCCCUUAUGGGCAGGGCUACACACGUGCUACAAUGGCCGGUACAGAGGGCGGCGAAGCCGCGAGGUGGAGCGAAUCUCAGAAAACCGGUCGUAGUCCGGAUUGCAGUCUGCAACUCGACUGCAUGAAGCCGGAAUCGCUAGUAAUCGCGGAUCAGAACGCCGCGGUGAAUACGUUCCCGGGCCUUGUACACACCGCCCGUCACACCAUGGGAGUGGGCUGUACCAGAAGUAGGUAGUCUAACCUUCGGGAGGACGCUUACCACGGUGUGGUUCAUGACUGGGGUGAAGUCGUAACAAGGUAGCCCUAGGGGAACCUGGGGCUGGAUCACCUCCUUU
RNAcentral lists this ribosomal RNA (451 nucleotides) under uncultured Thiotrichales bacterium. RNAcentral's name for it is "bacterial SSU rRNA". It matches the Rfam family "Bacterial small subunit ribosomal RNA", at positions 1077 to 1533 of the family's 1533-position model. The record is from RNAcentral. Lineage: Bacteria; Pseudomonadati; Pseudomonadota; Gammaproteobacteria; Thiotrichales.